UAUUUGAUUGAUAACUUAUUCUUGUGUGUUGAUUAAGGAUGCAUACUUAGUUUGCAUGCAUGAAUCUGAUGCUAAAUCAUAAAGGCCUUUCACCUAAUCGUUAGAAACUUACAAUUACAAAUAGUGGAGAUUGUUAGUCACAAUUGUGUUAAGUAGAUUCUUGGCAAGAGUAUCAUGCAGUUCAUAGUUAUAAUUGCCUUGUCAAUGCUUAUGAUUUCCAUGGAACUUAAUGAUCUUUGAAUGUAUCUCUAUCAUGUUGUUCAUAUAGGGAACUUGAUGAGAAUAAUUUGGUUGCGAUGCGUUGUCCAUUCAAUUCAAUGAAUUUAGGAAAUCUAAGAGUUAAUCUGUGCAUUCACGAUUAAUUUGGGGCAUUGUUAUUCAUGGUUUAAAGAAACAAUACUGGAAAUCGAUUUAUGUGGCAUAUGUUUAUGUGUGGAGAAGGAUCCUCUAACUAGCCUAUUUCACCAUUCAAUUCACCCAAUUUCAUACCUAGUUUGCUUUAGUUUACAAUCUAUUCAAUUUAAUUAAUUUCGUCCAAAUCAAUCCCCCUUUCAAUUAAGUGUCUU
This 566-nucleotide long non-coding RNA is filed under the name Malus domestica (apple). RNAcentral describes it as "long non-coding RNA (MDOM_LNC004722)". Lineage: Eukaryota; Viridiplantae; Streptophyta; Magnoliopsida; Rosales; Rosaceae. The record is from RNAcentral.